GGGUAACAGGGAGCUUGCUCCGCUGACGACCGGCGCACGGGUGCGUAACGCGUAUGCAAUCUACCUUAUACAGGGGAAUAGCCCAGGGAAACUUGGAUUAAUGCCCCAUAGUAUCAUUAAGUAGCAUUACUUGAUGAUUAAAGAUUUAUCGGUAUAAGAUGAGCAUGCGUCCCAUUAGUUAGUUGGUAAGGUAACGGCUUACCAAGACAGCGAUGGGUAGGGGCCCUGAGAGGGGGAUCCCCCACACUGGUACUGAGACACGGACCAGACUCC
This 273-nucleotide ribosomal RNA is filed under the name uncultured bacterium. RNAcentral describes it as "partial 16S ribosomal RNA". It matches the Rfam family "Bacterial small subunit ribosomal RNA", at positions 67 to 339 of the family's 1533-position model. The record is from RNAcentral.